This 253-nucleotide ribosomal RNA is filed under the name uncultured bacterium. RNAcentral describes it as "partial 16S ribosomal RNA". It matches the Rfam family "Bacterial small subunit ribosomal RNA", at positions 524 to 776 of the family's 1533-position model. The record is from RNAcentral.
UACGUAGGGCGCGAGCGUUGUCCGGAAUUAUUGGGCGUAAAGAGCUCGUAGGCGGCCUGUUGCGUCCGCUGUGAAAUCCCGGGGCUUAACCCCGGGCGUGCAGUGGAUACGGGCUGGCUGGAGGCAGGCAGGGGAGAACGGAAUUCCCGGUGUAGCGGUGAAAUGCGCAGAGAUGCGGAGGAACACCGAUGGCGAAGGCAGCCCCCUGGGCUAGCACUGACGCUCAGGCACGAAAGCGUGGGGAGCAAACAGG